Molecule: transfer RNA, 69 nt
Filed under: Dipodomys ordii (Ord's kangaroo rat)
Lineage: Eukaryota; Metazoa; Chordata; Mammalia; Rodentia; Heteromyidae
Rfam family: tRNA
About the family: Transfer RNA (tRNA) molecules are approximately 80 nucleotides in length.
Source: Rfam by way of RNAcentral
GGUAUGUGGCUUAGUGGUAGAGUGCUUGCCUAGCAUGCAUGAAGUCCCAGGUUCAAUUCCUCAGUACCA